RNAcentral lists this long non-coding RNA (541 nucleotides) under Cyanistes caeruleus (blue tit). RNAcentral describes it as "lncRNA (ENSCCEG00000012591.1)". Lineage: Eukaryota; Metazoa; Chordata; Aves; Passeriformes; Paridae. The record is from RNAcentral.
AUGGUACAACAACAUUGCCAUGAGGUUGCCUUUAUUCAUUCCAUAGACCUUGUGGUUGUUUCUCUCCACAUUGGGAAGAUAAACUCUACCACCCUUGGGGCCUCUGAAGCCACCAAGUCAGACCAAUCCCUUUGGCAGAGUUUGGAUGCUCUUGUGGUCACCGAGCCUGAUCCAGACAUCAGAGAUGUCAAUGGGCAGUGUCACCUGACAGGCUUUCAACAAAGCUUCUCCACAUCUGAGUUCCCUUGUUAUUUAACCUGCUGGGAGAUGGCAAGUCCCUGGCAGAGGAACACCAGUCUUCCAGAAGAUCCAUCUAGCUGGAUAUUGAUACCCAAACUACACCAGCACCUCUGAAGGCAGGCAUGUGCAGGAAAGACCCAUCAAAAGACAAAGAAGAUCAAGACCUCAAUCAAUGAAAGCAAUUUGGAAUACUACAGCCUUGCUGAGGGUUUUUAUCACAGCUGGGAGAGCUGAGCAAGUGUGCUGAAACUGAGUGAAUCUCUUCAAGGUGAAUAAAUAUAUGCACAGUCAUAGAAGGACA